GAUGAACGCUAGCUACAGGCUUAACACAUGCAAGUCGAGGGGCAGCAUGGUCUUAGCUUGCUAAGGCCGAUGGCGACCGGCGCACGGGUGAGUAACACGUAUCCAACCUGCCGUCUACUCUUGGACAGCCUUCUGAAAGGAAGAUUAAUACAAGAUGGCAUCAUGAGUCCACAUGUUCACAUGAUUAAAGGUAUUCCGGUAGACGAUGGGGAUGCGUUCCAUUAGAUAGUAGGCGGGGUAACGGCCCACCUAGUCUUCGAUGGAUAGGGGUUCUGAGAGGAAGGUCCCCCACAUUGGAACUGAGACACGGUCCAAACUCCUACGGGAGGCAGCAGUGAGGAAUAUUGGUCAAUGGGCGAGAGCCUGAACCAGCCAAGUAGCGUGAAGGAUGACUGCCCUAUGGGUUGUAAACUUCUUUUAUAAAGGAAUAAAGUCGGGUAUGGAUACCCGUUUGCAUGUACUUUAUGAAUAAGGAUCGGCUAACUCCGUGCCAGCAGCCGCGGUAAUACGGAGGAUCCGAGCGUUAUCCGGAUUUAUUGGGUUUAAAGGGAGCGUAGAUGGAUGUUUAAGUCAGUUGUGAAAGUUUGCGGCUCAACCGUAAAAUUGCAGUUGAUACUGGAUAUCUUGAGUGCAGUUGAGGCAGGCGGAAUUCGUGGUGUAGCGGUGAAAUGCUUAGAUAUCACGAAGAACUCCGAUUGCGAAGGCAGCCUGCUAAGCUGCAACUGACAUUGAGGCUCGAAAGUGUGGGUAUCAAACAGGAUUAGAUACCCUGGUAGUCCACACGGUAAACGAUGAAUACUCGCUGUUUGCGAUAUACAGCAAGCGGCCAAGCGAAAGCGUUAAGUAUUCCACCUGGGGAGUACGCCGGCAACGGUGAAACUCAAAGGAAUUGACGGGGGCCCGCACAAGCGGAGGAACAUGUGGUUUAAUUCGAUGAUACGCGAGGAACCUUACCCGGGCUUAAAUUGCAGAUGAAUUACGGUGAAAGCCGUAAGCCGCAAGGCAUCUGUGAAGGUGCUGCAUGGUUGUCGUCAGCUCGUGCCGUGAGGUGUCGGCUUAAGCGCCAUAACGAGCGCAACCCUUGUUGUCAGUUACUAACAGGUUCCGCUGAGGACUCUGACAAGACUGCCAUCGUAAGAUGUGAGGAAGGUGGGGAUGACGUCAAAUCAGCACGGCCCUUACGUCCGGGGCUACACACGUGUUACAAUGGGGGGUACAGAGGGCCGCUACCACGCGAGUGGAUGCCAAUCCCAAAAACCUCUCUCAGUUCGGACUGGAGUCUGCAACCCGACUCCACGAAGCUGGAUUCGCUAGUAAUCGCGCAUCAGCCACGGCGCGGUGAAUACGUUCCCGGGCCU
This 1358-nucleotide ribosomal RNA is filed under the name uncultured bacterium. Its description in RNAcentral is "bacterial SSU rRNA". It matches the Rfam family "Bacterial small subunit ribosomal RNA", at positions 28 to 1381 of the family's 1533-position model. The record is from RNAcentral.